RNAcentral lists this unclassified non-coding RNA (391 nucleotides) under soil metagenome. RNAcentral's name for it is "partial contains 5.8S ribosomal RNA, internal transcribed spacer 2, and large subunit ribosomal RNA". The stretch from base 1 to 122 matches the Rfam family "5.8S ribosomal RNA", at positions 35 to 154 of the family's 154-position model. The record is from RNAcentral.
GAUGAAGAACGUAGCGAAAUGCGAUACUUGGUGUGAAUUGCAGAAUCCCGUGAACCAUCGAGUCUUUGAACGCAAGUUGCGCCCGAAGCCAUUAGGCCGAGGGCACGCCUGCCUGGGCGUCACACGUCGUUGCCCCCCCAUCUACUCCUUCGGGAUUGUGGGGGGCGGAUGAUGGCCUCCCGUGCGCCUCGUCGCGCGGUUGGCAUAAAUGCCAAGUCCUCGGCGACGCACGCCACGACAAUCGGUGGUUGCGAAACCUCGGUUGCCCGUCGUGUGCGGUCGUCGCGCAUCGAGGGCUCGAAAAAAUUGCCGGGCUCCGGCUCGACUUUCAACGCGACCCCAGGUCAGGCGGGGUUACCCGCUGAAUUUAAGCAUAUCAAUAAGCGGAGGA